CUGCCCUCAAGCACGGCUUGUGUGUUGGGUGUGGUCCCCCCGUUUUAGGGGGACCUGCCCGAAAGGCAGCGGCGACGUCGCGUCGGGUCCUCGAGCGUAUGGGGCUUUGUCACUCGCUCGGGAGGGACCUGCGGGCGUUGGUCACCCAACUGUAUUUUUCCAC
RNAcentral lists this unclassified non-coding RNA (163 nucleotides) under uncultured Talaromyces. RNAcentral describes it as "sequence contains ITS2". Lineage: Eukaryota; Fungi; Ascomycota; Eurotiomycetes; Eurotiales; Trichocomaceae. The record is from RNAcentral.